This 498-nucleotide ribosomal RNA is filed under the name uncultured bacterium. Its description in RNAcentral is "bacterial SSU rRNA". It matches the Rfam family "Bacterial small subunit ribosomal RNA", at positions 26 to 518 of the family's 1533-position model. The record is from RNAcentral.
AGGAUGAACGCUAGCGACAGGCUUAACACAUGCAAGUCGAGGGGCAGCAUAGAAGUAGCAAUACUUGGUGGCGACCGGCGCACGGGUGAGUAACGCGUAUGCAACCUACCUAUCAGAGGGGAAUAACCCGGCGAAAGUCGGACUAAUACCGCAUAAAACAGGGGCACCGCAUGGUGAUAUUUGUUAAAGAAAUUCGCUGAUAGAUGGGCAUGCGUUCCAUUAGGUAGUUGGUGAGGUAACGGCUCACCAAGCCGACGAUGGAUAGGGAACUGAGAGGUUGGUCCCCCACACUGGUACUGAGACACGGACCAGACUCCUACGGGAGGCAGCAGUGAGGAAUAUUGGUCAAUGGGCGGGAGCCUGAACCAGCCAAGUCGCGUGAAGGAAGAAGGAUCUAUGGUUCGUAAACUUCUUUUGCAGGGGAAUAAAGUGCAGGACGUGUCCUGUUUUGUAUGUACCCUGAGAAUAAGGAUCGGCUAACUCCGUGCCAGCCGCCGC